UACGGAGGGAGCUAGCGUUGUUCGGAAAUACUGGGCGUAAAGCGCACGUAGGCGGCGCAGCAAGUCAGGGGUGAAAUCCCGGGGCUCAACCCCGGAACUGCCCUUGAAACUGCAGUGCUAGAAUUCUGGAGAGGCGAGUGGAAUUCCGAGUGUAGAGGUGAAAUUCGUAGAUAUUCGGAAGAACACCGGUGGCGAAGGCGGCGACCUGGUCCAUUACUGACGCUGAGGCGCGACAGCGUGGGGAGCAAACAGG
RNAcentral lists this ribosomal RNA (253 nucleotides) under uncultured bacterium. RNAcentral's name for it is "partial 16S ribosomal RNA". It matches the Rfam family "Bacterial small subunit ribosomal RNA", at positions 524 to 776 of the family's 1533-position model. The record is from RNAcentral.